UGUGUGUGUCCUCAUUUGCAGAAGUC
RNAcentral lists this non-coding RNA (26 nucleotides) under Homo sapiens (human). Lineage: Eukaryota; Metazoa; Chordata; Mammalia; Primates; Hominidae. The record is from RNAcentral.